AGUUGCAGACAACUAGCUUUAGGCAUUGCAUGUAAUUUGAUGUUCUUCAAUGUCCUGUAGCCUAAGACCAGCUGGAACACACCUGUAGUCAACAAAGUUAGGCUGAUUAAUGGGAAACUGCAUGCUGUGGGGAAGUUGGAGGCAUCUCAAAAGCGAGGAUUAAGGAAAGGGCACCCAAUAAAGCUUUGGGGGCUGGAGUUAGUCACAAGAUGGUGUUGACAAGAUUUCAUCAGAUUCUGUAAACUGGAGAGUUUCUAGAAAGGAACCCAAAGACAGUAAAGGUCACAAAUGAUGUACCUUUUAUAUCCAGCAGAGGGCCAGGACAGUCCUGGGGUUCAUAUUUCUUCUCCUCUACUCUGAGGUUUAUACGACCCCCCUAAGAUCACCUUGAUGCGACCAUCUGGCCUAUCCAGGCAGGAUCAACCAGAGGAAUUCAAGGAGAAAGCAAAUUGUUUUGCAAAUAGAGUAAGAUAUGUUUUGCAUUUCCAAAGGCAAUGCAAGAAGGAAGGACAAAGGGAGGUGGGAACAGGCUUACUCCAAGAAGAGGUGAGAAGAGCUAGGGAAGACAGAGAAUCCGAAGAGGGCAAGAGGCAGUCUGUAUCCUGUACACCAGCGCCCCAACUUCUAGCUAUAUUUUUGUUCCCACCAGGCCUGAAGCAUGACUCAGCACUUAAUUACACUCCCAGAGGAAAAUCCACCUCACAAGCAUGACUGGCAAUUUCAGUGGAAGAGUCAGAAGAAGUUUUUACAUCUUACACAGUCCUCAUCAAUUCCUUCCUGGUCUGUCCUUUUAUCCCAGAUCCCAUUCAGAGGCUCUGCCUGCUGGAGAGAGGAGUGGGAGGAGAAGUGUCCUUCUUCAAGGCCAGCUUCACGGGCCCAUAGCCUGUGAGGUUCCAUAGGGCCCCAAGCUGAAAGAGCUCCACUUAAGAUUCAGUGCUGUGCUCAUGCACUCUUAGAAUUAUUACUGAGCUCUGUUCUGUAAGUGAAGUCCAUGGGGCAGCAGCGCACGCGCAGGAGCAUGGAGGCAGCGUAAUAUGCAUGUCAGUUGCUCCUUGCUGCCCAUUCCCAUAGAGCAUUUGCAAUGCCCCAGCAGCAGAGGAUGGAUGCUGGUGGUGAGAGGUGAAGCCGGCUGGGCUUCUGGGUCAGGUGGGGACUUGGAGAACUUUUCUGUCUAGCUAAAGGAUUG
Non-coding RNA from Macaca mulatta (Rhesus monkey), 1186 nucleotides. The record is from RefSeq and is a predicted model, not a curated record. Lineage: Eukaryota; Metazoa; Chordata; Mammalia; Primates; Cercopithecidae.